This 327-nucleotide ribosomal RNA is filed under the name uncultured eukaryote. Its description in RNAcentral is "partial 18S ribosomal RNA". It matches the Rfam family "Eukaryotic small subunit ribosomal RNA", at positions 1470 to 1796 of the family's 1831-position model. The record is from RNAcentral.
CCCUUAGAUGUUCUGGGCCGCACGCGCGCUACACUGAUUCAUUCAUCAAGUCUAUAACCUUGGUAGAAAUGCUUGGGUAAUCUUUGAAACUGAAUCGUGCUGGGGAUUGGAGCUUGUAAUUAUUCUCCAUGAACGAGGAAUUCCUAGUAAACGCGAGUCAUCAGCUCGCAUUGAUUACGUCCCUGCCCUUUGUACACACCGCCCGUCGCUACUACCGAUUGAAUGGCUUAGUGAGCUCUCUGGACUGUUGCACUUCGGGGGCAACCCUGUUGAGCAUACGGGAAGGAGAUCAAACUUGAUCAUUUAGAGGAAGUAAAAGUCGUAACA